ACCGUUGGAUGGUAAUGAAAUUUUAGGAUGUUGUCCUAGAGGUAUAAUGUGGACCUCUGGAAGUUAUGGAUUUAAAUUCUGAGUGGCAGAUCUUCCGGAUCGAUCAACAUAGUGACGUAUUUUAUAUAAGUUAUAUAUUCUAUCGAUAUGAAUUCUGAGCCUGGAUUUGAUUACUAUUCUAGGCGGCGAUCGUCAUGACGCCUUGAUGUGUGGUGCUAGGGAGUUGUUGGACGAACUCCAGGUGAGUGGGCAGUUUUGUUUUCCGUAUAUAUAUAUAUAUACUUAACGUUUUCCCAGAAAUUGAAAAUGCAUGAAAUUAUGUUUAAAAUGAAAUGCAUAUGAGUUAUGUGGAAAAACGGGAAGUGAAAUACCAUGCAUAGAAUUGAUAUGAAAAGUAUAUAGAAAUGUGAGUUGAAAUGCCAUGCAUGAAUUAAUAUAUGAUGCAUAUGUAUGAAUUGGUGCGGUGGACGCACAGGUAAGAAUUGAUUUAUGAUGCAUAUGUAUGAAAUGGUGCGGUGGACGCACAGAUGAGUAUUUAAUUACUGUUAUGAUGAUGAUGAUAUAUAUUGAGCUCAAAUCCUGCACCAUGGUUUAGUGCUUAUAGUAUUCACCGCAUCGCACGCUCGCCUUGGAUCCAAGUAGAUGCUAGUCGUACAGUCCACGCGGAGUGGGUACGACAGACCAGUCGCGAGAGUGUUAGUGAGAUUCCGACUGGUGGGUGACCUUAGAUUAUGUGCACAGAGAUGAUUUAUGAGAGAAGCACUAGAGCGUAACUUGUGUGUGCAGAAGGCCGGACGGGUCACAUAGGUGACUCCGGUAGAGUGAUAAUGAUAGAUUUUGAGCUCUAGGUUCAACCGUAUAGGGCUAUUAGAGGGCCUACGGUUGAUUACUUUCUUGCACCUGAUAUGAUUAUGUUGAUGCAUUCAUACCUUAUUACUGUUGAGAUGAUGUGGCAUGGCAUAAUUAAUAUGAGAAAUGUUGAGAUGACAUGGCAUGGCAUGAUUGAUAAAGAGAUAAUGUUGAGAUAGUAAAAAUGAAGUUUUGAGAAUAUAUAUGUAUAUUUAUAUUUUACAUUUCUGGGAAAGUAUACAGGUUUUACGGAGAGGGGUUACAACGUUUUGAGAAAUGUUUGGAUUUGGAAAAGAAUUGUUUUUACUGACCCACUCAAUUUUGGUUUUGCGCCCCUCCAGGUUCAGGAAUCACAAAGGUGUGGUGACUACGAGGAAUUCGACGGUGUUCUGACAGAUUGGACAAAAUUAGGACUCACCUUCAGGUGUAUCAAUUUAAAUUGUAUCUUAAAGCUUCCGUACUGUGCAAAUGGUUACGUCACUCUCACGUGACGGCCAGCAUGCCCUCCUUCGGGACGGGGUGUGUCAGUUGGUAUCAGAGCAUGGUUGCAAUCUUGGACAUUUUGAGAAGUUCUAGUGAAUUCUGUCAGAACUACACCGCCUCGUAGCAAGCCACUUAGUUAGAGGAAUUUAGUCUCCCUAAUAUAACGGUUUAGGGGAAACUAUUAUUAUGGUGAUUCAGUCUAUUAUAAAAAGGGACAUUUUAAGAUGGGUUAUGAGUUGAAUUUGAAUCACUUAAGAGAAAUGAUGAACCUGAGGGAGCGAAGUAACGGUUUAACCAUUUGGAAAAGAUGUUUCGGAUUAUGCAAGUCAAAGGAAUCUUCCUUCUGACAAGGGGUCGAGAUGACUACCUGGUUUGAGUUAUGAACGUGUAUCCUGAUGGAAGCAGGAGUAUUAAUUGUUGUCACCGGAGGAACAGCCGAUUUAAAAUUGUUUAAGGACUUGUUUAAGGAAAAGUUUAUCCCUCCGGCAUUUAUCGAUGGUAGUAAACAAGAGUUUACAAAUAUGAGACAAGGAAGGUGAUGAUCGAGGGAUAUUAUAGAAAGUUUUCAGACUUGCCUUGUUCCAUCCAGAUAUUGUUGUUAUUUGGUGGAGGUGUUAUGUUGUUUUAAGCUGGGUGGCAAAAAGGGAAGUGGUAUUUUGGGUGACCACUAUCCAUUAUACUUCUUACCAGGAAUAUACGAGAUGCUGUUGAGUCUUGAGGACUCUGAGAACAUGAUCAACGAGAAUAAAGAAGAAUAAGAAAUGAAUGGGAAUUAAAAGAAGACGAUAAAGUUAAUGAUUCGUCAUAUCAAGGAGAUAGAAAGAUUCAGAGCUUCGAAAGAAGUGAAGCUAGAGUUAAUUCUUCCCAGCUGAGGUUUUAAUGUCGCUGGUCAGAGUAAAAGUGAUGGAAUAUACUGGUAAUCCCAGAUAUUUGAGACAAAGGUGUCUCGAGUAAAGGAAAUGUACUUUGUGCAGCAGGUACAAAAUUAAUUAACACUUUGGGAAGUGUGUGAAAUUAAUGAAUGUGUUUAUGUGAACAGAGGGGACACAGAAUUGUGAAUCGUCCCUAGAAUCAGUUGUACCCAACAGUUUUCUAUGACAUCGUAGUGUCGAUUCAGCAAGUUUAUGAACUUAGUAGUUUGGUCGGAUUGACCGUGGGUACAGAGAGAUUUGAUGAGUUAUAUGUUCAGCCGUACAGACCAUGAGAAGUGGAUUCGAUUGACACAUGAGAAAUUGGUGAGUUAUAGGCUCGGCCGUACCGACCACGCGGAGUGGAUCCGGCCGACGUAUUAUUGAGAUAAGAGUUGAAUAAGCCGUAUUGGUCAUUCUAGUUGACUUCGGCUGAUAUAUUAUUAUGUAUGUUAUUACCUAGAGAGUAGUAAAUAAAUGUAGUAGAGACGAGUGUAUGUAUUUUGUAUUGAGUGACAAAAUAGUAAUGUUAUAUCUUUGAGAGUGGUUGCCUACUUAUCGAGACAACGAUGAUUUAUCAGUAUUGCGGGCUGCAGACCGUAAUAUUAAUAACUCAUUCGUGGAUUCGUUAAGCAAGCAAACCGGUAGAUUAUUUUAUGUUAGAAUGUUCAGUAAUAAUAAAGUAUGUAUUGGGUCAGUUAAUUUUAUUCCAUUAGAUUGAUUGUUUAUAGUUGUGACAAGACGGAAUGUUACGGGAAACCAGUACUUUCCAUCGAUCUGGAUGAUCAGAGGUUAUCUUAAUGAGUGGGCAUACAAAGUGAAGUGAGUUCAGCCAUUAUUUAUGCUGUGAAAGCAAAUAGAUUGUUUUGAAAGGCUGCCCAAAAAUACUUAGCUCAUGUGGUGCUAAAUGAUGUUGUUUGGAGUAGUGUGACUAAUGUCGAAAGAGUUAGACUUUUCUUGAUGUCUUCCUUGAAAGUAUACCUGGAUUGCCUUCAGGCAGAGAUAUGAGGUUCACUAUUGAAUUGUUGCCAGGUAUAAAUUUAUGUUAAAGAUUGGUUCAGGAUGAGUUAAGGGAAUUGGAAAUUCAGUUGAGAGAAUUGGUUGAUAAAAGUUUUAUUCAACCUAGUACAACACUUUUGAGGAACCCCAGUUCGUUGGUGAGGAAGAAAAUGGAUUUUAAGGCUAUCCAUUGAUUAUAGAUAAUGGAAUCGGGUAACGAAUGAGAACCGUUAUCCAUUGUGGUGUAUUGACGCUCAUUUGAUCAGUUCAAAGGUGCUUGUAUAUUUUCAAAGAUUGACUUGAAGUUUGGUUAUUACCAAUUAAAGAUUAUGAAUGACGUUGAUCAUAAGAUGGUUUUCUGGACUUGUUAUAGUCUUUAUGAAGUUUGGUGAUGCUAUAUGGAUACUCAUGCUGUUUUAUGAGUUGAUGGAUGAAGUAUUCCAAUAAUGCCUUGAUAGAUUGAUAUCAUUUUUCAUUGACGAUAUUCUGGUAUACUCUAAGCCAGAGCAGAGCAUGUAAAUGUAUUAAGUCGAUGAAGCAAAGAUUGAGAGAACGUUGGUUGUAUGCUAAGUUUAGCAAAGGCUAAAGUUAAAUGAAUCAAGUGACAUUCUGAGAAUUGUUAUAUAUUCUUAAGGUAUUCAAGUGAAUCCUUAAAAGAUAGCAGAAAUUGAGAAUUUGGAACAACCACGAGUCGUAAUUGAGAUUUGGAAUUUCUUAACUUACCAGGCUAUCUUGGAUGGUUGUGAAAAAUUUUUUAGUCAUUGCUUUGUCAUUGACGAGACUGUUGAGAAAGGAGGUUAUGUAUGAGUGGGAAGGAAAUUGUGAGCAAAGGAUUCAACAACUGAAGUAUUUCCUCACUCAUGCACGUAUUUUAGUAAUCCUAGAAGAUAGUGGUAAUCAUAAAUUUUAGUGAUGUUUCUUGAAUGGUAUUGGAGGCAUGUUGAUGCAAAUGUUAGGGUGAUUGUAUAUGUUUCACGACAAAUGGAACCUCAUGAGAUGAAUUACCCUACUGGUGAUUUGGAAGUCACGAUUAUCAUCCUUGCUGUGAAGUUAUGGAGACAUUAUAUGUUGAUAAGAAUGCAAGAUUUUACAAAUCAAAAGAGUCUCCAAUAUUUGUUUACUCGGAAGGAUUUUGAUAUGAGGCAACAAAGGUGGAUUGAAUUACUUAGUGAUUAUGAUUGUACGAUCAGGGUGAUCGUGAAUUGUUGUAGCUGAAGCACUUGAUGAGAAGACUCCAGUAAGAAUUAAUGCUUGGUACGCUUGCCAAGAUUAUCUUAUUGUGGAUUGGAAAUCAACUGAAGUAAAGUUGAGAAUUGGAGAUCGAGAAGAAGCUCUACUUGCUAAUUUUCAAGUUAGGCAUUUUUGGUAAGGUCGUACUCGAGACUCAAAUGCUUGACGAAGAAAUUUAAGAAUUAACCAAGGCAGAGAAAGAAGGGAAAAAGAAUGAGUACAUGAUUCGUGAAUCAAAUGGUAUGUGGAUACAAGAAAACAAAAAGUAUGUGCCUAAUGCUGAGGAUUUGAAGCAAGCAAAUAUUGGACGAAGUUCACUGUUCAACUUCUGCAAUAUUCCAAAAGUAAUAAGAUUUAUCAUACCAUUCGACAGUUUUAUUUGGUCAGCAGAUUGAGGCAGAAAGAGAUAAACCUUUGGAUUGAGAUAAUUAUUUUCUGUUUCGCAGUGGAAAUGGAAAGAUAUUACUUUGGAUUAUGUGUACAAGCUUCCUUGUACACAAAGAUGGUUAUGAUCGAAUUUGAAGUGAUAGUUGGUCAAUGUACCAAGUUAGUACAAUUACUCCAGUGCUGAGUAAUAACUUUUUCCCAGUCAGGGCAACGGUACUUAAUGUAUUUUGUGUUCGAUGCGUUGUCGCUAGGUGGCAGAGUCGUCACAUGAGAUUCUAGUGCAACUAUUGAGAAUUAAAUUGGAUUCGACUUGAUAAGGAACCAAGGACGACUUUGGAUUGGAAAAAAGAAGGUCCUGAGAAUUAAGACAGAGUAAGUGGUAAAAGCUUUGUGAAGGAAAUCAUUCAGUAGAAAAUUAUGUGGGAGAAAGAGAAUCGGAUGAGAGAGAUUUACCCGAAGCUAUUGUUGGAGUAUGGUUGAUUUAGUUGGUUGCUGGAAUUUCGAGGACGAAAUUCUAUAAGGAGGGGAGAUUGUCACAGCCCGUUCCAAAAUAUUACAUUCGUGGCUGUGAAUGGACGAAAUUGCCCUUAAGAAAUACUAAGUAUGUGAAGCUCAAGUUGAUAAUUAUCUAGGUUCCUAAGUUUUGAAAAUAAAAUGGAAUUUAAUAAGGAUGGAACUUAGAUUUUUAGGUUAAAAAUUUUGUGGUUUAGAGUUGGGGAUUGGAAAAGGACCACGUGGGAUCCCCAUUCCUUAUUUCCCUCCCCAUUUCCCGUAUACUGUCCUUCAUACUCUCUUUCUCUUCCUCAGACCUCACUCUCUCUCUCUCACCCUCUCGAACACACGGGCAACCAUCAAAAACCACCUAAAACUAUUACCAACGCCGGAUUUAAAACCACCAUUGCACUCCUGAGGACUCCACGAUCACGUAGGUACCAGUUUAAGGUAAGUUUCACUUCGAAAACCCUAGUUUCUAAAGUUGCCGUGAAUGUGUACUGUUCAUGAGCUUUGAAUUGGUUGAUUUUUAGGACAAUCCAAGCUCAUAGUGAGCUUAGUGAGGUCCCAAGGAAGCUCGGAGUGCUUCGUUGGAAGGAUUUGGACGUCGGGAUCACGAGGGUUAAGUUUGGCCGGUUUUGCUUGGAUUUUUCCGGUGAGAUUUAGUUGUUUUUGAAGCUUAAAAGUAGUAUAUUGUGAUUCUAAAUGUUGAGGGCUUUAAAUUGAUAUAUUAUACGAAGAAAAUGGUUGAGAAACGAAGGAGAACGAAGCAUUUGAAAAUUCCCCAGUUUUCCGGCCACCGGAAAAACCAGUCCGGCGAACCCGCGAGGAAGAAGGUGCGCGUGGGCGCGCGUGGACCCGUGCCUUCCUUGGCGCGUGGGGGCGCGUGCUACAGUAAAAAAUUAUUUUAAAAUAUGUCGACGUCCGUGACGUCGAGUAGAUCACUGUGGUAUAUUCAUAUACCUAAAUUGAACACCGUAUGAGAAAGUUAUUGAAGAUUGUUGGUUAGGUGUUCAAAUAACGUUUUAUAGUUUUCACAUUUAGGUGAAAAUGUGAAUUGAUGAUCCGACCGUUGGAUCGUCACCAAACUUUGAUACGUUGUAAUACGUAAUAUUUGAGGAUUAUUGGAACUUACGGAUUGGGAAUCCGAGUUACGGAUCUUCCGGAAUUGGAAUUGUAAGUCCAUAAUAUAAAAUGUUAACCGUCACUUAGUUUUGGAAAUUGACGGAGAUCCGACCGUUGGAUGGUAAUGAAAUUUUAGGAUGUUGUCCUAGAGGUAUAAUGUGGACCUCUGGAAGUUAUGGAUUUAAAUUCUGAGUGGCAGAUCUUCCGGAUCGAUCAACAUAGUGACGUAUUUUAUAUAAGUUAUAUAUUCUAUCGAUAUGAAUUCUGAGCCUGGAUUUGAUUACUAUUCUAGGCGGCGAUCGUCAUGACGCCUUGAUGUGUGGUGCUAGGGAGUUGUUGGACGAACUCCAGGUGAGUGGGCAGUUUUGUUUUCCGUAUAUAUAUAUACUUAACGUUUUCCCAGAAAUUGAAAAUGCAUGAAAUUAUGUUUAAAAUGAAAUGCAUAUGAGUUAUGUGGAAAAACGGGAAGUGAAAUACCAUGCAUAGAAUUGAUAUGAAAAGUAUAUAUAGAAAUGUGAGUUGAAAUGCCAUGCAUGAAUUAAUAUAUGAUGCAUAUGUAUGAAUUGGUGCGGUGGACGCACAG
RNAcentral lists this long non-coding RNA (7056 nucleotides) under Malus domestica (apple). RNAcentral describes it as "long non-coding RNA (MDOM_LNC014674)". The record is from RNAcentral. Lineage: Eukaryota; Viridiplantae; Streptophyta; Magnoliopsida; Rosales; Rosaceae.